Molecule: non-coding RNA, 45 nt
Organism: Paxillus rubicundulus Ve08.2h10
Lineage: Eukaryota; Fungi; Basidiomycota; Agaricomycetes; Boletales; Paxillaceae
Source: Rfam
GCCCUGGCUCUAUUCAGAGCCAUAAAUAGAACACAUUGUGUUAUU